RNAcentral lists this transfer RNA (36 nucleotides) under Crocidura palawanensis (Palawan shrew). RNAcentral's name for it is "partial tRNA-Thr". Lineage: Eukaryota; Metazoa; Chordata; Mammalia; Eulipotyphla; Soricidae. The record is from RNAcentral.
AUAGAGCCUUAGUAGUAUAACUAAUACACUGGUCUU